UAGGGAAUCUUCGGCAAUGGACGAAAGUCUGACCGAGCAACGCCGCGUGAGUGAAGAAGGUUUUCGGAUCGUAAAACUCUGUUGUUAGAGAAGAACAAGGACGUUAGUAACUGAACGUCCCCUGACGGUAUCUAACCAGAAAGCCACGGCUAACUACGUGCCAGCAGCCGCGGUAAUACGUAGGUGGCAAGCGUUGUCCGGAUUUAUUGGGCGUAAAGCGAGCGCAGGCGGUUUCUUAAGUCUGAUGUGAAAGCCCCCGGCUCAACCGGGGAGGGUCAUUGAAAACUGGGGGACUUGAGUGCAGAAGAGGGUAGUGGAAUUCCAUGGGUAGCGGUGAAAUGCGUAGAUAUAUGGAGGAACACCAGUGGCGAAGGCGGCUCUCUGGUCUGUAACUGACGCUGAGGCUCGAAAGCGUGGGGAGCAAACAGG
RNAcentral lists this ribosomal RNA (429 nucleotides) under Gemmatimonadota bacterium. RNAcentral's name for it is "Gemmatimonadetes bacterium partial 16S ribosomal RNA". It matches the Rfam family "Bacterial small subunit ribosomal RNA", at positions 355 to 776 of the family's 1533-position model. The record is from RNAcentral. Lineage: Bacteria; Pseudomonadati; Gemmatimonadota.